UUAACAGUGAAACUGCGAAUGGCUCAUUAAAUCAGUUAUUGUCUACUUGAUAGCACCUUACUACAUGGAUAACCGUGGUAAUUCUAGAGCUAUACAUGCUGAAAACCCCGACUUCGGAAGGGGCGUGUUUAUUAGAUACAAAACCAAUGCCCUCCGGGCUCACUGGUGAUUCAGAAUAACCUCUCGAAUCGCACGGCCUUGCGCCGGCGAUGGUUCAAUCAAGUUUCUGCCCUAUCAACUUUCGACGGCUGGGUACCGGCCAGCCGUGGUGACAACGGGUAACGGAGGGUUAGGGCUCGACCCCGGAGAGUCCGCCUGAGAGACGGCGAACACAUCCAAGGAAGGCAGCAGGCGCGCAAAUUAUCCAAUUCCGACGCGGAGAGAUAGUGACGAAACAUACUGAUACAGGGCUCUUUUGGGUCUUGUAAUUGGAAUGAGUACAACUCAAAUCCCUUAACGAGGAACAAUUGGAGGGCAAGUCUGGUGGACCUCCAGUCCCACCAGCAGCCGCGGUAAUUCCAGCUCCAAUAGCGUAUAUUAAAGUUGUUGCAGUUAAAAAGCUCGUAGUUGAUCAUCGGGCCUGGCCGCCCGGUCUGCCUCACCGCAUGCACUGGCGCGGCCGGGCCUUCUCCUCUGGGGAGCCGCAUGUCCUUCACUGGUCGUGUCGGGGAACCAGGGCCUUUACUGUGAAAAAAUUAGAGUGUUCAAAGCAGGCCUAUGCUCGAAUACAUUAGCAUGGAAUAAUAGAAUAGGACGCGUGGUUCUAUUUUGUUGGUUUCUAGGACCGCCGUAAUGAUUAAUAGGGACAGUCGGGGGCAUCAGUAUUCAGCCGUCAGAGGUGAAAUUCUUGGAUCGGCUGAAGACUAACUACUGCGAAAGCAUUUGCCAAGGAUGUUUUCAUUAAUCAGGAACGAAAGUUAGGGGAUCGAAAACGAUCAGAUACCGUUGUAGUCCUAACCAUAAACUAUGCCGACUGGGGAUCGGGCGGCGCUAUUUCUUGGCCCGCCCGGCACCCUGCGCGAAAGCAAAGUGUUUGGGUUCUGGGGGGAGUACGGUCGCAAGGCUGAAACUUAAAGAAAUGACGGAAGGGCACCACAAGGGGUGGAGCCUGCGGCUUAAUUUGACUCAACACGGGGAAACUCACCAGGUCCAGACACAACUAGGAUUGACAGAUUGAGAGCUCUUUCUUGAUUUUGUGGGUGGUGGUGCAUGGCCGUUCUUAGUUGGUGGAGUGAUUUGUCUGCUUAAUUGCGAUAACGAACGAGACCUUAACCUGCUAAAUAGCCCGCGCCGCUCCGGCGGCACGUAGGCUUCUUAGAGGGACUAUCGGCUCAAGCCGAUGGAAGUUUGAGGCAAUAACAGGUCU
RNAcentral lists this ribosomal RNA (1366 nucleotides) under Diaporthales sp. JS-2007a. RNAcentral's name for it is "SSU rRNA". It matches the Rfam family "Eukaryotic small subunit ribosomal RNA", at positions 75 to 1463 of the family's 1831-position model. Lineage: Eukaryota; Fungi; Ascomycota; Sordariomycetes; Diaporthales. The record is from RNAcentral.